Molecule: long non-coding RNA, 4908 nt
Organism: Amphiprion ocellaris (clown anemonefish)
Lineage: Eukaryota; Metazoa; Chordata; Actinopteri; Pomacentridae
Exons: 3
Source: RefSeq, a predicted model, not a curated record
UGGAAAUGACAUUUUUAUGUGAGGAAGAGGAGGAGGAGGAAGAGGAGGAGGGGAAUCAAAGAGGAGCACUUUGACAGAGAAACUUAGACAUCAAUAGUCAGAGAGGAACAAGGUGAUGUUGGAGGCCUGAUGCUGCUCAGAGGAACAUGAACGCACCUUUCUGAGCAGAGCUGCGUUUUUACGCACAGAGGCCAAAAUGAAACAGAAAUCACACAAAUAAAUGUGAGGGAGAAGGAAGAGGUCCAUGAAUGAUAGAUCUGGACACUCUUUAACGCAGCUGCUGAUUUUUUUUUUAUUUUAAUAUUUCAAACAUGUGAAGUCCGAGCAGCCAGAGGCCACAGCAGCAGCUCCUCUUCACACAGCCUCCUUUAAAUUAUGCAAAAAGGCCAUUCAGGAAAUAUGGCCCUCACCACACAAAAGAGACGCUUAUUCUGACAUUUCCCUGCAUUUCUUGUUUUUUUUCCCUCUCUCGAUGUGAGUAAGACCCCGAGAUAAACCCCUGAACAAGUAUCAAGUUAUCAAGUUGCACCAACCUUUUGUAAUAAGAGUAUUUUGUCUAAUCCCAAAUUGCAGUUGAAUUUUCUUAAUGCUGAGCUGGUAAAGCCUGGGAUUAGGCGGCGAUGAGAGGAGGGGGAAAAGUUUUGUCCCUUCAGCCGGCAGGAUUGGAAGCGGGCAUCUGCGGGGAUGUUGUCGGUGCUUAUUAAAACGAUGAUGCAUAAAACACAGAGUUGCAGGAGCCGCGGCGCCGCACGCAGAGAGCCGGGCUCCCUCAGGUGCAGCUUGUUUGGACGGCGGCGGGCGACGGGAAGGAACGCAGAGGCCGAGCGGCGCGCAGCACCUGUGAGGUGAGGCCAGGAGACAUCAAAGCUCAGGAGAUAAUCCAUUCAGCUGAAGGAUCCUCAGCUGCACAGCCGCGCAGACACACCGCCGCCUUUUUUACGCAGCGCGUCGCUUUUAUUCACUGAAAAAGGACUCCGAAUGUUUUUCACUCCUGGAACACUAAAGAAGCCCGAGCGGCGCCGCAGAGGACACACUUCUCCUCCUUCUUGGCCAUCUUGCCUUUGUUUUGCUCCAGCGUCCUCUCCAGGUGCUCGUCCUCCUCCUCGGCCCUGCAGAUGGAGAGGUCCACAGGUCACACACACACACAGGUAAUGCUGUCGGUGCCACGGCAACCGUCGCUGUGCCACCUGUGGAGUGGCGUGAUGCCAGGAGGCCGAGCCGCAACCUUUAACCCGCCUGGAGCCAAUCCCACCUGAGCAGUAUGACCAGUUCAUCCAGCAGCAGCUGCUCUCGUCUCUUCUGGGCUUCGGUCUUCUGCCAGUCUGCAGGACAUCAGAGAAACAUCAGACCAGGAGCUCCUCUGAACACUCUGACACAGGGAGGAAAAGUCUACAGGAUGCUAAAAACUCCAGUCUGAGCUCUUCAGAUCCUCCUGAGGACACGAUGUGGACGGAGACAGUUUGGUGAACGUUCUGAUGAAGCUGCUGGACUGAGGAGACCAGCAGCUCCUCAGACUGGACCAGAUCGAACACCAGAAGGAUAUCAUCAUUUAAUGUGAAGCUUCCUGAGCACAGACUGAUGGAAGAGGAGCUGCUGGAGAAAGUCCUCAAUGAGAACUUUAGAAAAGGAGACCAACAGUUUGGUUCCUGUCUGAGGCUAAAAUGAGGAAAAAAAAGUCUGAUUAUUUGAAUGUUUUCAUUUAAUUUAAACCUAAAAAUUCUUAAAUCUUCUGAACCAACAGGAGCGUCUGAAUGUCACCUCAGAGACAAACAAACCAACAGGUGAGCCUCCGGUCCAAACUCGUAGUCGGGGUCUGUGCAGGAAGGGGCCCCACAGAGGCCCCACAGGGUCCAGGUGGGACCCAGAUCCAAAUCCUCUCAGCCUCUCCCCCAGGAGGGGGGCCGCCCACAGGAGACGCUGCUCCCCCUGGGGCUCAAAUAUCCGCCUGGCGCCCUCGGUUCCACAUUUACUCCCCCUCCUCCCCCGCCUCACCCCCAAAAACAUCAGCAACGUGUGCAGCAAUAAAGCAGGUUAAAGAGGUUGCUACUGCUGCUGCUGCUGUUGCUUGUUGUUGUUGUGACCAGAAGCAGGUGAACUCUCUGAAGUCUUUAUUCUGCUGCCUCACGGCUUCAGAAGCAGGAAGUGAGAGCAGAGUUUCAGAUUAAAAGCCUCCGUCCCAGAGAGGAUUCAAACAGAAACUUCAGCCUCCAUCAAUAUUUAAGUUGCUAUUGAUCGGACAAUAAAAGGAACGUUUUCAAAUGUCACACCCCAAAAUAAGUUGAUUAAAAAUAAAUACCCUGUCAUUGAGUCAAAUUGCAGCCAUCAGACUGAGUCCUGCUGGGCUCAGAGUUGGUCCUCAAAGGUCUGAGCUCCUCACGGCUCUUUGAAGUCGACGAGGAGAGAAAUCAGCUCAGUCCUAAUAUUUAGUUGCUGUCAGGGAGAAAAUCUACUCUCCUCUGGUCCAGACACUGAAAAUAUGUUCUAACCUGCAUAUGGAGGGAGUUCCUGUCUUUCUUUUCUUUUUUCUUUUUAAAGGAGGCUGAGGACUGAGAGACAGAGGACAGAGUGUGAGUCAUCAUGUGAGUCGUAAGCUUUAGAUAAUUGUGCGACAGGAAUGUGUAACUCUCCCACAAUCCUCUGGAAGGAAAAAAACAAGAAAAAAAAUCCUUCAGAGACUUCAGCCAGAAAGCCACGGUCCAGAGGAGGGGGAGGGAAGGGGGAGGCUGUCAAUCACACGUCUCUAGCCCCGCCCCCCUCAUUAGGAAGGUAAACAAUAAAAAGAGGCAAUGAGAGACGAGACCAGACACAACCUGAAAGCACCAGGAACCGAGGAACACCGUAGUACUACAGUAUCACCACAGUAUUACAGGAACACCACAGUACUACAGUACCUGGGUAACACCAUAGUACUACAAGACUGUAGUACUGUAACACCAGGUAAUACUAAGUAACCAGAGCUGGAGGACAAACAGACUGAGACUCACACAGACCUUCAAGCCCCGCCUCCCCCACAGACCUCCUCCUCUAAGCCCCGCCUCCCCUCAGACGGGGAGAGAGGGGGAGGUAUUCAGAUAACCCUCUGGUAACCAUGUGAUUCUGAACAAUCCUCAGAAGAAUGCUCCAGUUCAAAUCCCCAUGAAGCCCCCCCCCCCCUCCUCCAUCCAUCCGUCCCCCAUCCAUCCAUCCAUCCGUCCGUCCGUCUGUCUCUCCAGAAAUAUGGAGACUUGACAUCAGAGGAGCUCAGACUCAAACAGCCCUGAAUGGUGCUUUUGGCCCAAAUCCAAGAGGAAUCAAGAGACAAAAAGUGUCACCAGAGGAGGAGAAAGUCGAGUGGAUGGAUAAAUAAAAGGCAUCUCGACUGGGACAAAGACCCUCUGUGGGUCUCAGGCUGAUGUUAAAGACAGAUCACAGACUGAUCAAUAUUCCCUCUGAUCGAUCUCUAAAAGGCUACAACUGAAGAUUAAACGUCAUUUUCUUAUUGUUAACAACAAAAACAAUGAACUGAACCUUCUUUCUUCACUCAUUUCUGCUGUUUUAGUCCAAAAACUAUUAAAAUGCAUCACUGAGCUGCUGAACCUGGAGUUUGGGUCAAAAACACUUUACUGAACUACCAUCUGUACUACAGCAGCCAGAUAGAAUCCAUUAGCUGUCAACUAUUUGUGUUGUUGUGAUGUGUUGUUUGUGCUCCUGCAGAUGCAUCAGCUCCAUAAAACCUCAUUUUACCAUCAAUAUUACAGCUGCAACCAUUAAUCCAUUAGUUCUCAAUGUUUAAACUAAUCAGUUGAGGAUUUUUUAAAGGAAAAAAAGGCUAAAUUCUCUGAUUCCAGCUUCUAAAAUUGAAUAUUUUCUGGUUUAUUUACUCCUUUAUGAUAACAAAUUCAAUUUUUGGGGUUGUGGACAAAACAAAACCCUGAAGAAAUUUUUUCUGUAUUUUCUGACAUAUUACAAACCAAAAAACUUUGAAUUAAUUAUUAAACUGCAAAUCUUCUCUGUACAUAUUUUUUUUAUUAUACAUAUAUAUUCUAACUAUUAUUCUCUGCAUACCUGCUCUUAUUGCUCAUUUUCCAUUAUUUAUUUUUAUUAGUGUGUUUAUAUUUACACUACUGUUCAACAGUUUGGGGUCACCCAGUAAAACUCCCACUUUUAUCCAUGUGCUAACAUAACUGCACAAGGGUUUUCUAAUCAUCAAUGAGCCUUUCAACACCAUUAGCUAACACAAUGUAGCAUUAGAACACAGGAGUGAUGGUUGCUGGAAAUGUUCCUCUGUACCUCUAUGGAGAUAUUCCAUUAAAAAUCAGCUGUUUCCAGCUACAAUAGUCAUUUACCACAUUAACAAUGUCUACACUGGAUUUAUCCUUCAUUUAAUGUUAUCUUCACUGAAAAAAAAAAGAUUUUCUUUCUAAAAUAAGGACAUUUCUGAGUGACCCCAGACUUUUCAACAAUAGUGUAUGUUCUUAUAUCCUCUGCAUACCCAUUUUCCAUUAUUUAUUCCUAUUAGGGUGAUUAAUAUUUAUAUUCUACCUAUGUUUAGUCCAAAUUCAGGGUCUUUUUCUGAAAAUCUGCAAUUGUAAAGAUUCUUAUAUUUUUUUAAUAUAUUUUUGCAAAAUUUGGUACAAUUAUUGACAAUUAACAACAAAAAAGAAGUAUUAGUUCAAUAACUAUACAAAGAUUUGAUUAUUAAAUGAAAUCUCUCACGUAAUUAGAGGACUUUUCACAAGAAAAAUGUAGAAAGUUUUUUCAUUAGCAUCCAUCCAACCAUCCAUCCAUCCAGUCUGUCAGUAAAUGUAACUUUAUUUACUGAUUUUAAACAUCUCCAUGUUCAGAAGGAACCAAUGAGUGUCACGGAGCAGGAGUUAGAGACAGAAAGUUCAGUUUGAUUUCGUCACAAUAAAAACAAGUAGAAUAUUA